RNAcentral lists this ribosomal RNA (497 nucleotides) under uncultured bacterium. RNAcentral describes it as "partial 16S ribosomal RNA". It matches the Rfam family "Bacterial small subunit ribosomal RNA", at positions 28 to 507 of the family's 1533-position model. The record is from RNAcentral.
GAUGAACGCUGGCGGCGUGCCUAAUACAUGCAAGUCGAGCGAACGGACGAGAAGCUUGCUCCUCUGAUGUUAGCGGCGGACGGGUGAGUAACACGUGGAUAACCUACCUAUACGACUGGGAUAACUUCGGGAAACCGGAGCUAAUACCGGAUAAUAUUUUGAACCGCAUGGUUCAAAAGUGAAAGACGGUCUUGCUGUCACUUAUAGAUGGAUCCGCGCUGCAUUAGCUAGUUGGUAAGGUAACGGCUUACCAAGGCAACGAUGCAUAGCCGACCUGAGAGGGUGAGCGACCACACUGGAACUGAGACACGGUCCAGACUCCGACGGGAAGCAGCAGUAGGGAAUCUUCCGCAAUGGGCGAGAGCCGGACGGAGCAACGCCGCGUGAGUGAUGAAGGUCUUCGGAUCGUAAAGCUCUGUUAUUAGGGAAGAACAUAUGUGUAAGUAACUGUGAACAUCUUGACGGUACCUAAUCAGAAAGCCACGGCUAACUACGUG